CUUUAACAUAUGUUCCCACAUAGCCAAAUGAUUCAACUCAGUACAGUUAACAACUUAGAAAGGGAUUCAUUGAAUUUUCCAGGUCUCUUCAUGGCCAGAGUUGCUUUGUAAGGAGACCCUAAAUGUGGAAUAAUCAACAUGUUAAAGUAAUCUAGAUGUUUAUGAUUUGAUAACUCUUUAGUGCAUUGUUUAACAACAUGUUUUCAAUUUACUUUCCUUCAAAUAGCUCCAAAUAACCCCGUGAUUUUGGAUGAUUGAUUAUGGGAAUGCUGCUUUCACUGUACAUCCAAGCUCUCCUGGCCUCAGCGGAUAAGUAUAUGAGAGCACAGUUUUCCUGGUGUCAGGAUAUGAAGAUCCAGGGAACAAAGAACCUCAAAGAACAACACCUGGAUUGUCAAGGUUUGGCCAGCAGUGCACUUUCUCCAACCUUACAGUCAUACGCAAGACAUUCCUUCUCCCUUUGAAGAAAUCCACAAAAGAAAAAGCAAAAUACUGACAAGUUUUCAAAGCCAUGAUUUACAGGAAUGAAUUCUGAAAAGCAAGUGGCUAACAUCCGAGUUCAUCAUCAAAUAAUAUUUCUAAAGCACCCUCUAGUGUCUGGCCCCAAGCCAGAUGAUUCAACGCCUGGAGAAGCUACAGACUUUUUAAAAGUAAAAUAGACUCAUGUCUGCUCAUGAGAAGCAAGUCAGCGUCAUUUAGGAUGCCUUAGGAAUGUCUCUCUAAAUAAGGAUUAAAAAUGGAUUGCUGUAGAAAAAGUAAUACAAGUACAAACACUAAUAAUAUUGAAUGCAAUUUAAAUUCCAUUUUAAAAUAGAUAAUAGGGUUUAAAAUAACAUGUUGAAAAUUACACUGGAAUUAGCAAAAUUUAAAAUCUUAGGAAGAAAAAUCCUAAUUUGUAUGUGAAAAUGUUUUGAACUGAGGAAAAUUAAGACUAGCAAGAGUAGAUAGGGGUUGUCUAGUAGGAAUGUUAGACCCAUCAGCCAUCUGAUUAUGCUGCGACUGAUACUAGCGUGUAGUUUUCACCCAGUAAAUUAUCAAGUGGUGCAGUAGAAAAAGCAUGGUAUGUAGAAUCAUAAGACUCAUAGUCUGGGGUCACCUCUACUACUCACUUGGCCAUGUGGUUUGGAACACAUCACAAAAGAUUUAUGAGCCUUCGCUUCUUCACAUCUAAAAUCGUGAUUAUUUUGCCAACUCCAUGGAAUUGUUUAGACUUUAGAGGAUUACAUAGGAUACAAUGGACUAGUUCCUUGAACAAGUACUUGCCCCCAAAAUGUUACCAUUUUUUCUGGUUGUGUGACUGAUUUUGCAAUCAGCAAUUUAAUAAUAAUGCAUUCAACAGGUUUAUAAUAUGCAUUCAAUGUGACUCUUGCAUAUAUCUCAUAAAAACAAAUUUGAAUAUUUUUCUCAUUUUAUCACUCACAUAUCUUUGAGAAUGGGAUCAUAGUUUUAUUUUGAUAAUGAAGUAAUAGAGUCAAUUCCUGAACAGGCUAGUUGACUUUAAUGAGAAAUACCCAUUUAUUCACUCAUUCAUUUCAUUUUCAACUCUUAAAUCCAUAAUGGCCCCUUCACUAACUGCACUAACUGGGGUUCUUAUAUUAAUAAGAUGGACCAGAUGCUUCUAUCACCUCCAAAAAAUCUUUGUAGGCAGAGCAAUAAAGAGUACUGAAUCAUUUUAAGAAGUCGCAUAGACAAUGACUUUUGACCAUGGAAGGACUGGGCUUGAUCAAGCAAAUUCUAUUUCAAAGUUUUACUUGCAAGGUUAUUUAUUACUGUGUGGAAUCUCACUCCUGUGGCUGGGGUCAAGAAAAAUGGGGACACAGGUGUCUGCCUAUUUGCACAGGCAUUAAAAAGUGUUGUAAAAUGAGCUUCAGCCUUUUAAGUUACUGUCUUCUUCUUUAUAAUAAUAAUCUUUUCCAUUUUACAAGGUCUAUAUUAUUUUUAGGUAAGAAAACACUGUAGAGUUCAUGUUUUAUUGUUCCUUGCAGUUAUAUAAAUUAUAUUUGGCCAAAACAAAUGUAAUUCCUACUGUGUGAACUGGGAACCCAAAAUGUUGAUUUUCCUCAAGUUAUAAACAAUGUGAAGAUAUGUUAUACUGGGUCACAAUUUUCCAGAGCAGAGCAAAAUAUAUAACUCAGUUUUAAUAACAAAACUGCAUAUAUCAUUAAAGUUUCCUACUCCACACAGAAUGUAUUAUAUUACUCUGCCCAGCAAGAGACAUCCUUUGUGUAGACCACAAUUUCUAAAAUACCAUUUGAUUGAAUAGAAAACAGGUUAGCCAUUUGUUAGUUUAAA
Molecule: long non-coding RNA, 2292 nt
Filed under: Homo sapiens (human)
Lineage: Eukaryota; Metazoa; Chordata; Mammalia; Primates; Hominidae
Description: HSALNT0300861
Source: RNAcentral